Molecule: long non-coding RNA, 550 nt
Organism: Zophobas morio
Lineage: Eukaryota; Metazoa; Arthropoda; Insecta; Coleoptera; Tenebrionidae
Exons: 2
Source: RefSeq, a predicted model, not a curated record
GAUGAUUAUGAGAUCUCUUGAAACAACAGAAUGUUUAAUAAAGAUUUUUAACUUUCCUAAUAGUAAAAUUACAAUUAUUACUAAACAGUAAGUUGAAGUAAGUUUUAAAUUAAGAGAAUGCAACUAACACCGAAAGAAAAAUGAAAGUUACUGAAAAUAAAAAACUUUAUUGCAGUACCUACAUACACUUUCUACAUCUAAUUUUGUUUAUUGAUCACAUUCAUUUACUUGAAAAAGUAUCAGGCCUAUGAAUCGUCGUCUGGAAACAGCUAACCACACACCAACCUUCAUUGCGUGUGAUGGUGUUUCUUCAAAAGCCCUAACAGAUGAAACCAGGCUUCAUCAGAAAAGAACGACAAAUCGAGAAUCCCGUUAUCGUCCAUAUCAGCUUGAAACCAACUACAAUACCCAACGCGGCAAGGAAAAUCAGCUGGUUGCAGCUCCUGAACCAACAAAAUCUUGUAUGGACGCAUAUGUAACUUCUCUUUUACGAUUUUCUGACAUGGGCUGUAUGGUACUCCAGACAGUAAAGAUUUUUGACAAAGCUUUA